Triticum aestivum (bread wheat) is the source of this 126-nucleotide non-coding RNA. NCBI's taxonomy places the organism in Eukaryota, Viridiplantae, Streptophyta, Magnoliopsida, Poales, Poaceae. The record is from Rfam.
UAAGUACUACCUCGGCCCGAAAAAGCUUGUCACAAGCUUGUUCUUCAAAUGGAUGUAUCUAGCACUAACUUGGCGCUACAUACAUUCAUUUGAGGGACAAGCUUUUUCGGACGGAGGGAGUAGCAA